This 254-nucleotide ribosomal RNA is filed under the name uncultured bacterium. RNAcentral describes it as "partial 16S ribosomal RNA". It matches the Rfam family "Bacterial small subunit ribosomal RNA", at positions 524 to 776 of the family's 1533-position model. The record is from RNAcentral.
UACGGGGGGGGGCAAGCGUUGUUCGGAAUUACUGGGCUUAAAGGGUUCGUAGGCGGCUUUGUAAGUGAGAUGUGAAAUCCCACGGCUCAACCGUGGAAGUGCAUUUCAUACUGCAAGGCUUGAGGGAGACAGAGGUAAGCGGAACUGAUGGUGGAGCGGUGAAAUGCGUUGAUAUCAUCAGGAACACCGGUGGCGAAAGCGGCUUACUGGGUCUCUUCUGACGCUGAGGAACGAAAGCUAGGGUAGCGAACGGG